RNAcentral lists this ribosomal RNA (432 nucleotides) under uncultured bacterium. Its description in RNAcentral is "partial 16S ribosomal RNA". It matches the Rfam family "Bacterial small subunit ribosomal RNA", at positions 29 to 506 of the family's 1533-position model. The record is from RNAcentral.
AACGAACGCUGGCGGCAUGCCUAACACAUGCAAGUCGAACGAGACCUUCGGGUCUAGUGGCGCACGGGUGCGUAACGCGUGGGAACCUGCCCUUAGGUUCGGAAUAACUCCCGGAAAGGGGUGCUAAUACCGGAUAAUGUCUUCGGACCAAAGAUUUAUCGCCUUUGGAUGGGCCCGCGUUGGAUUAGCUAGUUGGUAGGGUAAAAGCCUACCAAGGCGACGAUCCAUAGCUGGUCUGAGAGGAUGAUCAGCCACACUGGGACUGAGACACGGCCCAGACUCCUACGGGAGGCAGCAGUGGGGAAUAUUGGACAAUGGGCGAAAGCCUGAUCCAGCAAUGCCGCGUGAGUGAUGAAGGCCUUAGGGUUGUAAAGCUCUUUUACCCGGGAUGAUAAUGACAGUACCGGGAGAAUAAGCUCCGGCUAACUCCGU